Long non-coding RNA from Phyllopteryx taeniolatus (common seadragon), 348 nucleotides. RefSeq lists it as uncharacterized. Lineage: Eukaryota; Metazoa; Chordata; Actinopteri; Syngnathiformes; Syngnathidae. The record is from RefSeq and is a predicted model, not a curated record. The transcript is spliced from 3 exons.
CUCCACAGGAAACUGAGCACGAAGACCAAAGACCCCACUGGCCCCAACCACCAUCGACAUAGCAGCCGGGGAGCGAGUGACAAUGCAAAACCCCAGCUUGGCAGGAACUGAGAAGCAGGAGCACUUGGAGAAAAGCCAUGAUGGGAUGGGGAGUACAACUCUACAGAAGACGGCCUGAACCUCAGAACUGCUGGGCAGACAUGCUCACCACGACACAAUUAAAAAAAAGAGCCUCUAACCAGCAGCUGAGCUGUUUUCGUAUUUGCAGCGACACUCCUCCCUGGAUACGCACACGCCAUCCUGCAGAACCAUGUCACCGGGGCAACCGCAGGUCUUGCUGCAUCCUGG